Sitodiplosis mosellana (orange wheat blossom midge) is the source of this 1049-nucleotide long non-coding RNA. RefSeq lists it as uncharacterized. The record is from RefSeq and is a predicted model, not a curated record. The transcript has 2 exons. Lineage: Eukaryota; Metazoa; Arthropoda; Insecta; Diptera; Cecidomyiidae.
AUUUAUUCUCAACGACUCAUAUGUUGAAAUUAAAAAAAAACAGUAAACUACAUACGUAACGUUAGUGUUUAUGUUCUGCCUCAAUGCAAUGAACUCCGUAUUCUUCUUCUCAUAUAACUGCAGCAUGCGUGAAUGUUAAUUUACUAUUUACUACUAUAAUGGACCCAAUUUUAUUUUAAUCAAUUUUAUCGAUUUUCAGUACUCAAAGUACACCCGUUGUUCCUCAGAGGCAACUGUCUACGGGAUCUACAUCGCAGCCUCAGCAAACCAUAAGUAAUCCAUCACACCCACAGUUUGUCAUUGUAAAGUCAGGCAUUAACAUUCAACAACAAGUCAAGCCAAAUAUUGUUGUUAUGAAACCGCCCAGUUCCAAUAUUACACAAGCACUGACACCCACCAAUACACCGUACAUUAUUCAGGAGUCAGAAGAAAUUGACGACCUCUCCCAUUUAGAGUAAUAACUAUUCUGAAUCAUUUUUUAUGUAUACAUAAUUUCACAAAUUCAAAAAUACAUUUUUUGGUACAAGACAAAAUCCGAAUAUAUUUAAAGUAAACUUUAAUCAAUAUUGUUGAUAUUUGAAAGGAUGCAUAUUUGUUUUGACAAUUGGACUUCAUAUAUUUGCUAUAUAUUUGCUCGCAUCUAAUGUUCAUUUGCUACUACUUGGCGAUAUUAUUUCACUGAAUUUUUGCGCUGCAACCUUCUUUAACUGUUCGCUCUCCUGAGGACCAGUCGCAUCAACCAUUCCACGGAAAAUGCUCUCUUCAUUUUGUAACAAAUUAUGUGGAAUAUCGUACUCUUUGGCAAUGCCCGCAUCCAUAACUAAGACACGGUCGGAAUCCAUAAUGGUAUGUAAUCGAUGCGCUACAGUUAUAACGGUAAACUGUUUAAAUUUUUCGCGAAUUGUUUUCUGGAUGAGCGCAUCGGUUUGUGGGUCUACGUUGGCUGUGGCCUCGUCUAGCACCAAUACUUUAUUAUUUCUUAAAAUAGCUCGAGCCAAACAUAUCAAUUGCCGUUGGCCUUGGCUGAAAUUGGUUCCGCCUUCAGUUAC